This 253-nucleotide ribosomal RNA is filed under the name uncultured bacterium. RNAcentral's name for it is "partial 16S ribosomal RNA". It matches the Rfam family "Bacterial small subunit ribosomal RNA", at positions 524 to 776 of the family's 1533-position model. The record is from RNAcentral.
UACGUAGGGUGCAAGCGUUAAUCGGAAUUACUGGGCGUAAAGCGUGCGCAGGCGGCUUUGCAAGACAGAUGUGAAAUCCCCAGGCUUAACCUGGGAACUGCAUCCGAUACUGGAUGGCUUGAAUUCGGGAGAGGGAUGCAGAAUUCCAGGUGUAGCGGUGAAAUGCGUAGAUAUCUGGAGGAAUACCGGUGGCGAAGGCGGCAUCCUGGACCGACAUUGACGCUGAGGAGCGAAAGCUAGGGGAGCAAACGGG